This 362-nucleotide ribosomal RNA is filed under the name uncultured soil bacterium. Its description in RNAcentral is "bacterial SSU rRNA". It matches the Rfam family "Bacterial small subunit ribosomal RNA", at positions 26 to 419 of the family's 1533-position model. The record is from RNAcentral.
AGAACGAACGCUGGCGGCAUGCCUAAUACAUGCAAGUCGAACGAACACUUCGGUGUUAGUGGCGCACGGGUGCGUAACGCGUGGGAAUCUGCCCUUGGGUUCGGAAUAACAGUUGGAAACGACUGCUAAUACCGGAUGAUAUCGAAAGAUCAAAGAUUUAUCGCCCAGGGAUGAGCCCGCGUAGGAUUAGCUAGUUGGUGAGGUAAAGGCUCACCAAGGCGACGAUCCUUAGCUGGUCUGAGAGGAUGAUCAGCCACACUGGGACUGAGACACGGCCCAGACUCCUACGGGAGGCAGCAGUGGGGAAUUUGGACAAUGGGGAAACCCUGACCCAGCCAUCCGCGUGUGCGAUGAAGGCCUUC